RNAcentral lists this ribosomal RNA (254 nucleotides) under uncultured Methanosarcinales archaeon. RNAcentral describes it as "partial 16S ribosomal RNA". It matches the Rfam family "Archaeal small subunit ribosomal RNA", at positions 798 to 1051 of the family's 1478-position model. The record is from RNAcentral. Lineage: Archaea; Methanobacteriati; Methanobacteriota; Methanomicrobia; Methanosarcinales.
GUGCCGUAGGGAAGCCGUGAAGCGAGCCACCUGGGAAGUACGGCCGCAAGGCUGAAACUUAAAGGAAUUGGCGGGGGAGCACCACAACGGGUGGAGCUUGCGGUUUAAUUGGAUUCAACGCCGGAAAUCUUACCGGGACCGACAGCAAUAUGAAGGCCAGGCUGAAGACUUUGCCGGAUUAGCUGAGAGGUGGUGCAUGGCCGUCGUCAGUUCGUACUGUGAAGCAUCCUGUUAAGUCAGGCAACGAGCGAGAC